AACGGUCCAGACUCCUACGGGAGGCAGCAGUGGGGAAUUUUGGACAAUGGGCGCAAGCCUGAUCCAGCAAUGCCGCGUGAGUGAAGAAGGCCUUCGGGUUGUAAAGCUCUUUUGUCAGGGAAGAAACGGUGGAGGUUAAUACCUUCUGCUAAUGACGGUACCUGAAGAAUAAGCACCGGCUAACUACGUGCCAGCAGCCGCGGUAAUACGUAGGGUGCAAGCGUUAAUCGGAAUUACUGGGCGUAAAGCGUGCGCAGGCGGUUUUAUAAGUUUGUCGUGAAAGCCCCGGGCUCAACCUGGGAAUGGCGAUGAAGACUGUAAGGCUAGAGUGUGUCAGAGGGGGGUAGAAUUCCACGUGUAGCAGUGAAAUGCGUAGAUAUGUGGAGGAACACCGAUGGCGAAGGCAGCCCCCUGGGAUAACACUGACGCUCAUGCACGAAAGCGUGGGGAGCAAACAAGAUUAGAUACCCUGGUAGUCCACGCCCUAAACGAUGUCUACUAGUUGUCGGGUUUUAAUUAACUUGGUAACGCAGCUAACGCGUGAAGUAGACCGCCUGGGGAGUACGGUCGCAAGAUUAAAACUCAAAGGAAUUGACGNAA
Molecule: ribosomal RNA, 600 nt
Filed under: bacterium enrichment culture clone F61x_D53_T3_E07
Lineage: Bacteria
Description: bacterial SSU rRNA
Rfam family: Bacterial small subunit ribosomal RNA
Source: RNAcentral